This is an unclassified non-coding RNA of Callithrix jacchus (white-tufted-ear marmoset), 148 nucleotides long. It matches the Rfam family "Metazoan signal recognition particle RNA". Rfam says of the family: The signal recognition particle (SRP) is a universally conserved ribonucleoprotein. It is involved in the co-translational targeting of proteins to membranes. NCBI's taxonomy places the organism in Eukaryota, Metazoa, Chordata, Mammalia, Primates, Cebidae. The record is from Ensembl.
GCUGGGUAUGGUGGCACAUGCCUGUAGUUCUAGCUGCUUGGGAGGCUGAGGCAGGAGGAUUGCUUGAGCCCAGGAGUUCAAGGCUGCAGUGAGCUGUGAUGGCGCCACUGCACUCCAGCUUGGGUGACAGAGUGAGAUCCUGUCUCAA